AUAUUACCGGUCUUGUGGAUAACAGAUUUAUGGAAGAAUGAAGUGAGAGGAGAUUGACUGAUAGCAGCCGUAUCUCAUCGUGUAGCAGAAUUUUUCUUCUUCUUCUUCUUCUUCUUCUUCUUCUUCUUCUUCUUCUUCUUCUUCUUCUUCUUCCUCUUCUUCUUCUUCUCUCCUCCUCUCUCUCUCUCUCUCUCUUUCCCACGCUACGCCUCUCUCUCUGUUCCCCAUCUUGAUAACUGGUGUAGAGUCUUGCUUUGCAAGUGAAGUUGGCAAGGAUUAAAAUCAGUCUUGAAUUGGGAGUUUCCUUUUCUUCUUAUUAUUCUCUUUCUUGUUGGUUUCUAUUAUUUUCUGCACGCAGCAUAUUCUUGUUUGGGUGGAAUUCCACCGACACUUCAGAUUUCCUUUUCUUUUUCUUUUUCUUUUCUUUUUUUUUCAAGAACCAUCUCAGAAAAUUGUUAAGCUUUUUAUAUUUUA
This 474-nucleotide long non-coding RNA is filed under the name Carica papaya (papaya). RNAcentral describes it as "long non-coding RNA (CPAP_LNC003437)". The record is from RNAcentral. Lineage: Eukaryota; Viridiplantae; Streptophyta; Magnoliopsida; Brassicales; Caricaceae.